RNAcentral lists this ribosomal RNA (1474 nucleotides) under Chryseobacterium sp. JK1. Its description in RNAcentral is "bacterial SSU rRNA". It matches the Rfam family "Bacterial small subunit ribosomal RNA". Lineage: Bacteria; Pseudomonadati; Bacteroidota; Flavobacteriia; Flavobacteriales; Weeksellaceae. The record is from RNAcentral.
CAUGAGUUUNGNANUGGCUCAGGAUGAACGCUAGCGGGAGGCCUAACACAUGCAAGCCGAGCGGUAGAGAUUCUUCGGAAUCUUGAGAGCGGCGUACGGGUGCGGAACACGUGUGCAACCUGCCUUUAUCUGGGGGAUAGCCUUUCGAAAGGAAGAUUAAUACCCCAUAAUAUAUUGAUUGGCAUCAAUUGAUAUUGAAAACUCCGGUGGAUAGAGAUGGGCACGCGCAAGAUUAGAUAGUUGGUGAGGUAACGGCUCACCAAGUCUACGAUCUUUAGGGGGCCUGAGAGGGUGAUCCCCCACACUGGUACUGAGACACGGACCAGACUCCUACGGGAGGCAGCAGUGAGGAAUAUUGGACAAUGGGUGAGAGCCUGAUCCAGCCAUCCCGCGUGAAGGACGACGGCCCUAUGGGUUGUAAACUUCUUUUGUAUAGGGAUAAACCUUUCCACGUGUGGGAAGCUGAAGGUACUAUACGAAUAAGCACCGGCUAACUCCGUGCCAGCAGCCGCGGUAAUACGGAGGGUGCAAGCGUUAUCCGGAUUUAUUGGGUUUAAAGGGUCCGUAGGCGGAUCUGUAAGUCAGUGGUGAAAUCUCACAGCUUAACUGUGAAACUGCCAUUGAUACUGCAGGUCUUGAGUAAGGUAGAAGUAGCUGGAAUAAGUAGUGUAGCGGUGAAAUGCAUAGAUAUUACUUAGAACACCAAUUGCGAAGGCAGGUUACUAUGUCUUAACUGACGCUGAUGGACGAAAGCGUGGGGAGCGAACAGGAUUAGAUACCCUGGUAGUCCACGCCGUAAACGAUGCUAACUCGUUUUUGGGUUUUCGGAUUCAGAGACUAAGCGAAAGUGAUAAGUUAGCCACCUGGGGAGUACGAACGCAAGUUUGAAACUCAAAGGAAUUGACGGGGGCCCGCACAAGCGGUGGAUUAUGUGGUUUAAUUCGAUGAUACGCGAGGAACCUUACCAAGGCUUAAAUGGGAAAUGACAGGUUUAGAAAUAGACUUUUCUUCGGACAUUUUUCAAGGUGCUGCAUGGUUGUCGUCAGCUCGUGCCGUGAGGUGUUAGGUUAAGUCCUGCAACGAGCGCAACCCCUGUCACUAGUUGCCAUCAUUAAGUUGGGGACUCUAGUGAGACUGCCUACGCAAGUAGAGAGGAAGGUGGGGAUGACGUCAAAUCAUCACGGCCCUUACGCCUUGGGCCACACACGUAAUACAAUGGCCAGUACAGAGGGCAGCUACACGGUGACGUGAUGCAAAUCUCGAAAGCUGGUCUCAGUUCGGAUUGGAGUCUGCAACUCGACUCUAUGAAGCUGGAAUCGCUAGUAAUCGCGCAUCAGCCAUGGCGCGGUGAAUACGUUCCCGGGCCUUGUACACACCGCCCGUCAAGCCAUGGAAGUCUGGGGUACCUGAAGUCGGUGACCGUAAUAGGAGCUGCCUAGGGUAAAACAGGUAACUAGGGCUAAGUCGUAACAGG